RNAcentral lists this long non-coding RNA (681 nucleotides) under Homo sapiens (human). RNAcentral describes it as "HSALNT0320446". The record is from RNAcentral. Lineage: Eukaryota; Metazoa; Chordata; Mammalia; Primates; Hominidae.
GGCCGCCCCUACUGGGAAGUGAGGAGCCCCUCUGCCCGGCCAGCCGCCCCAUCUGGGAGGGAGGUGGGGGGGUCAGCCCCCUGCCCGGCCAGCCGCCCCGUCAGGGAGGUGAGGGGCGCCUCUGCCCGGCUGCCCUUACUGGGAAGUGAGGAGCCCCUCUGCCCAGCCACCACCCUGUCUGGGAGGUGUACCCAACAGCUCAUUGAGAACGGGCCAUGAUGACAAUGGCGGUUUUGUGGAAUAGAAAGGGGGGAAAGGUGGGGAAAGGAUUGAGAAAUCGGAUGGUUGCCGUGUCUGUGUGGAAAGAAGUAGACAUGGGAGACUUUUCAUUUUGUUCUGUACUAAGAAAAAUUCUUCUGUCUUGGGAUCCUGUUGAUCUGUGACCUUACCCCCAACCCUGUGCUCUCUGAAACAUGUGCUGUGUCCACUCAGGUUUGAAUGGAUUAAGGGCGGUGCAAGAUGUGCUUUGUUAAACAGAGGCUUGAAGGCAGCAUGCUCCUUAAGAGUCAUCACCACUCCCUAAUCUCAAGUACCCAGGGACACAAACACUGCGGAAGGCCGCAGGGUCCUCUGCCUAGGAAAACCAGAGACCUUUGUUCACUUGUUUAUCUGCUGACCUUCCCUCCACUAUUGUCCUGUGACCCUGCCAAAUCCCCCUCUGCGAGAAACACCCAAGAAUGA